Molecule: ribosomal RNA, 1056 nt
Filed under: uncultured bacterium
Lineage: Bacteria
Description: bacterial SSU rRNA
Rfam family: Bacterial small subunit ribosomal RNA
Source: RNAcentral
CGUGCCUAACACAUGCAAGUCGAACGAGAAACUCCGGGCUUGCCGGAGAGUACAGUGGCGCACGGGUGAGUAACGCGUGGGUAACCUACCCUUGAAUUUGGGAUAACCCCGCGAAAGCGGGACUAAUACCGGAUAUGGUUCCAUCAGCUUCGGCUCUUGGAAUUAAAGGUGACCUCUUCAUGAAAGUUGCCGUUCAGGGACGGGCUCGCGUACCAUUAGCUUGUUGGUAGGGUAAUGGCCUACCAAGGCUACGAUGGUUAGCUGGUCUGAGAGGAUGAUCAGUCACACUGGAACUGGAACACGGUCCAGACUCCUACGGGAGGCAGCAGUGAGGAAUUUUGCGCAAUGGGGGAAACCCUGACGCAGCAACGCCGCGUGAGCGAAGAAGGCCUUCGGGUCGUAAAGCUCUGUCAAGUGGGAAAAAAGCCUUUCGGUCAAUAUCCGGAAGGUCUGAUGGUACCACUGGAGGAAGCACCGGCUAACUCCGUGCCAGCAGCCGCGGUAAUACGGAGGGUGCAAGCGUUGUUCGGAAUUACUGGGCGUAAAGCGCGUGCAGGCGGUUUGGUAAGUCAGAUGUGAAAGCCCUGGGCUCAACCCGGGAAGUGCAUUUGAAACUGCCUUUCUUGAGUAUGGGAGAGGAGAGUGGAAUUCCCAGUGUAGAGGUGAAAUUCGUAGAUAUUGGGAGGAACACCCGUGGCGAAGGCGACUCUCUGGACCAAUACUGACGCUGAGACGCGAAAGCGUGGGGAGCAAACAGGAUUAGAUACCCUGGUAGUCCACGCCGUAAACGAUGAGAACUAGGUGUAGCGGGUAUUGACCCCUGCUGUGCCGAAGUUAACGCAUUAAGUUCUCCGCCUGGGGAGUACGGCCGCAAGGCUAAAACUCAAAGGAAUUGACGGGGGCCCGCACAAGCGGUGGAGCAUGUGGUUUAAUUCGACGCAACGCGAAGAACCUUACCUGGGUUUGACAUCCUCUGACUGCCUCGGAAACGGGGUUUUUCCGACUCUGUCGGAACAGAGUGACAGGUGCUGCAUGGCCUGUCGUCAGCUUCGUGUC